GCCGCAGAAGCACAACGGCUGUGCAGCCGCUUCGUAAGCGGCAGGCUGUGGGUUCAAAUCCCAUCUGCGGCUC
Molecule: transfer RNA, 73 nt
Filed under: uncultured archaeon
Lineage: Archaea
Description: tRNA-Thr(cgt)
Rfam family: tRNA
About the family: Transfer RNA (tRNA) molecules are approximately 80 nucleotides in length. Their secondary structure includes four short double-helical elements and three loops (D, anti-codon, and T loops). Further hydrogen bonds mediate the characteristic L-shaped molecular structure. tRNAs have two regions of fundamental functional importance: the anti-codon, which is responsible for specific mRNA codon recognition, and the 3' end, to which the tRNAs corresponding amino acid is attached (by aminoacyl-tRNA synthetases). tRNAs cope with the degeneracy of the genetic code in two manners: having more than one tRNA (with a specific anti-codon) for a particular amino acid; and 'wobble' base-pairing, i.e. permitting non-standard base-pairing at the 3rd anti-codon position.
Source: RNAcentral